CAGCACCUCAAGUGGUCAGGAUGAUUAUUGGGCCUAAAGCAUCCGUAGCCUGCUUUGUUAGUUUUCGGUUAAAUCCAUAUGCUCAACGUAUGGGCCGCCGGGAAUACUGCAAAGCUAGGGAGUGGGAGAGGUAGACGGUACUCGGUAGGAAGGGGUAAAAUCCUUUGAUCUAUUGAUGACCACCUGUGGCGAAGGCGGUCUACCAGAACACGUCCGACGGUGAGGGAUGAAAGCUGGGGGAGCAAACCGGAUUAGAUACCCGAGUAGUCC
RNAcentral lists this ribosomal RNA (270 nucleotides) under uncultured archaeon. Its description in RNAcentral is "partial 16S ribosomal RNA". It matches the Rfam family "Archaeal small subunit ribosomal RNA", at positions 477 to 747 of the family's 1478-position model. The record is from RNAcentral.